UUCACCCGACUAAGUCGGGGGAGGGGGAAAGUGAGACGACAUGCGUGAGAGAGCUGCAACGGAAAAGUUUGCUGGUUGGUUCCGAAGCGAGGGACUAGGCCGGCAACUGCGGCGGGCACUGGAAGGGGAGUAGCCCGGUAACCGUCGGCCCCUGCACUCGGACAAAAUGACAUCAGCACAGCCAAAAUGGAGGUGUGGAUGGAGGUGGGAGAUGCGCAGUGUAGGCAGGGGGGGAGGGCAGACUUCCAACUUCAAUCCACAUCAGCUGUGUUCAUGCUUUCCCUGACGCGACUGAACUUGCCCCAUAAUGAGAAUGUCAAGGACAAUACGGUAGCCAGAGAGGAUAUGGCACCUCCGCAAACGCUGGUGAAAUGCAGGUAGGCAGUAGCCACAAGGGAGUGCCUGAAUGAGGAACUGGGGUAGGGGGUUGGUGGGUAGGAGACUUACAGAGGGUCUACAACAGAUUUUCAACAGGGGAAGGGAAGUUUCCGUGAAAUUUCCAACGUAUUUUAU
This is a long non-coding RNA of Cryptotermes secundus, 513 nucleotides long. RefSeq lists it as uncharacterized. The record is from RefSeq and is a predicted model, not a curated record. The transcript has 3 exons. Lineage: Eukaryota; Metazoa; Arthropoda; Insecta; Blattodea; Kalotermitidae.